GAUGAACGCUGGCGGCGUGCCUAAUACAUGCAAGUCGAGCGAACAGACGAGGAGCUUUCUCCUUUGACGUUAGCGGCGGACGUGUGAGUAACACUUGUAUAACCUACCUAUAAUACUGGGAUAACUUCGGGAAACCGGAUCUAAUACCGGAUAACAUUUUGAACCUCAUGGUUCAACAGUGAAAGACGGUCUUGCUUUCCCUUAUAGAUGGAUCCGCGCCGCAUUAGCUAGUUGGUAAGGUAACGGCUUACCAAGGCAACGAUGCGUAGCCGACCUGAGAGGGUGAUCGGCAACACGGGAACGGAGAAACGGAAAAGAAGCAUACGGGAGGAAGCAGUAGGGAAUAUUCCGCAAUGGGCGAAAGAAUGACGGAGCAAAGCCGCGUGAGUGAAGAAGGUCUUCGGAUCGUAAAACUCUGUUAUUAGGGAAGAACAAAUGUGUAAGUAAAUAUGCACGUAUUGACGGUAACUAAUCAGAAAGCCACGGCUAACUACGUG
This 497-nucleotide ribosomal RNA is filed under the name uncultured bacterium. RNAcentral's name for it is "partial 16S ribosomal RNA". It matches the Rfam family "Bacterial small subunit ribosomal RNA", at positions 28 to 507 of the family's 1533-position model. The record is from RNAcentral.